GUGGGAGAGUCAGGCUUAUUCUCCAUGGGACAGAGCGAGGAAAAGAAGAAGAGUGUGUCUGUGUGUGUGUGUGCUACUAGAGAGUCUUCCCACAAUAAGUGAGAGGAGGAGACAAAGAUAGGUAGACAGAAAAGGAAGGGAAAAAUGUAAUGGAGGAAGGCAUGAAGGUGAGAGCUGAACAUCUGUUUGAUAAUCAGAGUCUCCCCUCAGUGCAGUCUAACACACACUGACACCUAUUUGAUAAUUGGUGAGCCUGCCCUCUCCCUCAGCGCCGGGCUAAACGGUUGCUUGAUACCGGGGAGAGCAAAGGGACUAGCUGUUGGCAGUGCAAUCUGUUUACUCAGUGCAGCUCAGGUAAAGAUGCAUAGCCGGCUGCCUGCGUGUCUGUGUUUGUGUGUGUGUCUGUGCAUGUGUACGCUAGCUAUUGCAUAAAGCCUACAAUCUGGUUAUUAGUCUCACAUCGUGAACAAGACGUGACUUUAAGCAUGCGUGAAAUGUUGUAGUAGUACCUUUUGCUGCUGCUGCUGCAGUGUUACUCAAGGAUAAAUAUGUGUUUUGUCUUUCUUAUCCCAGAUGCUGUCCUGAAAGAUUUGCCUCCGCACAGACCUCCUCCUUCCUUCUCUUCACAUUGCGAUCACAUUCAGAGAGCUGAAGGAUGCGCACAGAGAAGGAGUGGAGUAAAGAAAGAAAAAAAGGAGGGAGAAAGUAAUGGAAGUGGGGGGUGGAGGCCUCUUUGCUCCGGUCUCGACAACGGGUAUUCUUGGGUUGAUAAUACAGAUGUGGAUGUUAUUGCUUGAGAAUACGCGUAGUCGAGAGGAAGCUUUGUCAUCUACAAGGGUCCAAAAAGCAGAGAUCUUUUUGGAGGAAUACAAUGGCAGACACACACGAAACAUGGGAUGGUUUUUAAUUAGGCACCUAUGAGCGACUUUUUGUGGGAAAGGGUUUAUUUUGUUCUAUCAGGAAGGUUUUUCAAAUAGAACGCAAUCAGAGGCCGGUCAAAUCAAAUCCAGCCACUGAAAAGGUUUUAUCAUCAUAGCUUUAUCAACCAUGUCACUCUUCACACCUGUGGAGGAAAUGAGUUUGUUUCGCCGUCCGAAUUCAGUCCGUCCUGUGAAAGCGCUGGCAGCAAGUGGGGGGAAGACUAGCACCGUGCCACUAAGCUAAACCCCCCAGGCAUUAGUUCAGGGAGCUUAACACAAAAGUCUUCAGACUCAGACCUUAAUUCCCAAACCUUCUUGAUUACAUAUCCUUGUCAGUCAGUCGAGCACACAAGUGAGCCUAUAAUCUUAUCAGUUGAUGAAGGUCUUUCGCAGCCCUUCACACUCUGCACCAAACAUGUCUCUCAGACGAGACUGGUUUUAAAGUUUGCAAAAUUGGUGCCAAAAACAGCUUUUUUUUUUAGAUAUCGGGGACAGGAACCCUUGCUGUGCCACAGGAUAGUAUAGCUGUGCAUAGCCAUCAUCCUGCUCCCGCUCCUGCCUCUACUCUUCUAUUUUUUUUUGUCUUCCUGGCUCAUGCUAAAAAUGUGCGAAGAGUUUGAUGCCUGUAGCAGCAACAGGAGACAGUAACACAUGAGGACAUGUCAAGGCUUGCACCCGUUGCUGACGUUUCAGCUUUCGGCUCAACUGACUGGCUGUCAUGAUGGAGAGGAGACUCACACACACACACACACAGAUGCACACACGGGCAGACAUGUAUAUAAACUGCAGCAGGGUUCACAUGAUCAACAUGCCUGUAGGGAAAUAAGGGAUUGAUAGGUCUAAAGAAAACCAGCGUUCGAUUCCUUACAUAUAUUUGAAUGCACAAACAUCGCCACAUUGCAGCAAGGUUCACCGAGUCCAUGUGCCAGUGGGGAAAUAAGGGAUUGAUUGAUUUUAUGGGUAACUAUUUUUAGUCAGAAUGAUGGAUGUUUAUGUCUUUUAUUGAUCAAGUCGAGGUGCAGGUCUGAAGAAUUCUUAAAGUCAGGGCAUGCUGAUUUAUCAGGGAGCUGUGAAGUUGGAAUAAAACAUCCAGAAAUACAUUUUUGGUACAUUAGCAUUAUUGCUAAGUACUAUAAAUUAAAAACUCUGCGCUUCAUUGCAAAUUCAGCAGUAUAUUAGCAUCUGUUUGUGAAUGCGCCUGUGAUAAAUUACUCUCUUAUCGUUUACUACUCCAUGAUUUCUUACUCCUGUGUAAGCAAAUCUCUUAUUUAUUAGCACAGAAAGUAAUCAUAAUUUAUACACAUUUCACACUGACGUUGUGUAAACUUGUUGAUUUGGCAAAGCUGUUUCUGUGGUUUUUGUGCGUAUUUGUGCAUGCGUGUGUGUGUGUAUGUGUGUGUUCUAAGCAACAAAAUGACUAUUGUGAGCACAGCUCCAGGUGCCUAGCAACCGAAUUGCUCUGUUUCCUUGGCAACAGUUGCCUUGCACUCACUGUGUGGGUGAUUGGCAGCCUUGACAACGGAGACGGAGUGACACUUGACCUCACGUGCUGAAUGGGAGAGGAGAAAGGAGUGAGAGAUAGAAGAGAGAGGGGGAGGCAGUGGGAGGGGACGAGCGCAGACAGAUGAGAGACUAAGUGAUAAUCAUUCUCCAUUGUAAUCAUCCUCCAGCAUGUUUCAUAAGGCAGUGGCAAUACCUCUCCAGCUGGGGUCCAUCAUCAAACACACUGCACAGUUAGGCACGCGCAUGCACGACACACUCCUUCUUGGGUGGAGAGCCCAGGCAGGCACUCCAUAUCUCAUCUACUAUCACUCAGCUCUGCCUGGUGCACAGCCUCACUACGCUGUGUCUGCUUUCAUUUGUGAUCUGCUGCAUCCUGCGCUCAGCGGGCAUGAAUGGAUCCUGGACUCCUGAAAAUGUGUCACGGUCACAGAUGCCACAGGAGGGUAGAUCAGAAGGCACGCACAGAGACAUUGUUCUUUGAAAACCAGCACUUCCACUGCUGUUUGGCACCUUUGAAUAAAAGUGGUGUAAUUAUUAAAAUGUGUUUUUGGUGGUUUUCCAUCCAUUCACUGGCUUAGGGGAUCCCAUUGUGUCAGGUUUAACAAAAAACAUGUUUUUCAUGGCUGGCUUCACCUGCAGAAAUGACAAAAAAAAGGAACAGUAGAAAUGUUCAAACUGUAAUAAAAAAAAAAAAAUGUAUUUUGAGUCUUUGAUUUUUCAAGUUACGUUUUAGUUUAAAAAAAACAGAAAUGUGAAUUUUUUUAAGGCUCUUUGAUACAAAUUACAAUACAAAUUUUCCUUUACCUUUAUCUUAAGUGCAACUAUGAUGUUUACUGUUGUUCAACCAGAAUCCCUUUAUGCUUGAAUCAUCUCUUUAACCCUCCUCCUGUGUUAGGGUCUGUACCGACCCGUUUUUGUUUUUAAAUGCUUAAAAGAACCACGUAAAUUAGAUUUUUAAAUUGACUAAAUUCUAAAAUGCUCUUAUUAAGAUUAUGGCCCUUGUCGUGUUGAGGUCGCUGUUGACCCGGUUAGAUCAAUAUCUAAUAAUUAGAGCAAAAACUGAAAUCAUAAGUGCACUGUCAGGCACCACACUGACAGUCAGAUCCUCUUCCAAUCAUGUAAGAUUUAGGAAAUUCUCAUUUUGCCUGUUUUUCCCUUCACGAGAAACUACGUUGGGCAUGUCCAGACAUGUGAGAUCAAUUCAGUAUAGAUGUCUGUAUGAGGGGUGAACCGACAAAGAAAGGCCCAGAGGACCACACCAAAAAAUAUUGUAAGCAAUAUUCUCAUGGAUAAUGAAGCCUAACAAGUUAACCUAGAGACGAGAACUAAAUUGGGUGAUAGAGAAUUGUUUUUAGUGUAAUUUACAGCUGAUUUAAGAUAUGGGUCAAAACCGACCCUUGACAUGGUGGUUGUGUAGUAAAAGCUAACAGGCGAGGAAGGAUAAUCAAUAAAUUAAUAACUCCUUCCAGAAAUAAUGCCAAUUCGCAACAAAUGUAAUUGCAAGAUGCUUUGCAAAAAAACUGGUCUUAGUCAUACUCUUCACAAUAUUUACAAAGACCUUAACAUCAAGAUAAAAUGAGAUCAAAUCCCAUCUUGUAAUAUCAGACCCACUCUGAUCACAUCUCUACCUACCAUGAGUAUCAAAGCAUCCUUUUAAGGGCAGAAACCUUCAGCAGAACCAGAUUCAUGUGAGACAGUCACCUGCUGAGAGUGCUGUGAGUUUAGAGGGGGAUGCAAAGAGAGAGAGAGAUGGGUAGAGGUUUACAUUAACAACAGUAGUGCAUGCAGAUAAAUCAUUACUGUGCCUGAGAUAAUGAGCACAGUAGUAUGCUCGCUUGGUUGAUGGCAAGUUUAAGUCAUCAGGUCAAUAGUAAUAGCAUAGCAGUAAUUACAUUUGAAACUAUGAUGUUGAGGUAAAUAAUGGGGGUUGGAGGAUGAUUGAAGGAGGAG
Molecule: long non-coding RNA, 4373 nt
Filed under: Xyrichtys novacula (pearly razorfish)
Lineage: Eukaryota; Metazoa; Chordata; Actinopteri; Labriformes; Labridae
Rfam family: mir-137 microRNA precursor family (bases 744-814)
Source: RNAcentral